RNAcentral lists this ribosomal RNA (254 nucleotides) under uncultured bacterium. Its description in RNAcentral is "partial 16S ribosomal RNA". It matches the Rfam family "Bacterial small subunit ribosomal RNA", at positions 524 to 776 of the family's 1533-position model. The record is from RNAcentral.
UACGGGGGGGGGCAAGCGUUGUUCGGAAUUACUGGGCGUAAAGGGUUCGUAGGUGGCCAACUAAGUCAGACGUGAAAUCCCUCAGCUUAACUGGGGAACUGCGUCUGAUACUGGUUGGCUUGAGUGCAGGAGAGGAAUGCGGAAUUCCAGGUGUAGCGGUGAAAUGCGUAGAUAUCUGGAGGAACACCGGUGGCGAAGGCGGCGUUCUGGACUGCAACUGACACUGAGGAGCGAAAGCCAGGGGAGCAAACGGG